AGUGAACGCUGGCGGUAGGCCUAACACAUGCAAGUCGAACGGCAGCACAGGAGAGCUUGCUCUCUGGGUGGCGAGUGGCGGACGGGUGAGGAAUACAUCGGAAUCUACCUUUUCGUGGGGGAUAACGUAGGGAAACUUACGCUAAUACCGCAUACGACCUACGGGUGAAAGUGGGGGACCGCAAGGCCUCACGCGAUUAGAUGAGCCGAUGUCCGAUUAGCUAGUUGGCGGGGUAAUGGCCCACCAAGGCGACGAUCGGUAGCUGGUCUGAGAGGAUGAUCAGCCACACUGGAACUGAGACACGGUCCAGACUCCUACGGGAGGCAGCAGUGGGGAAUAUUGGACAAUGGGCGCAAGCCUGAUCCAGCCAUACCGCGUGAGUGAAGAAGGCCUUCGGGUUGUAAAGCCCUUUUGUUGGGAAAGAAAUCCUGUCGAUUAAUACGCGGUGGGGAUGACGGUACCCAAAGAAUAAGCACCGGCUAACUUCGUG
Molecule: ribosomal RNA, 490 nt
Filed under: uncultured bacterium
Lineage: Bacteria
Description: partial 16S ribosomal RNA
Rfam family: Bacterial small subunit ribosomal RNA
Source: RNAcentral